RNAcentral lists this unclassified non-coding RNA (1447 nucleotides) under Hevea brasiliensis (rubber tree). Lineage: Eukaryota; Viridiplantae; Streptophyta; Magnoliopsida; Malpighiales; Euphorbiaceae. The record is from RNAcentral.
CGGAAAAAGAUGAUGGUAAGGCUCUACCUCUACAGGAGUGCUAAUAUCAUGUUUCUUUUCUCUAUUGGGACAUUUGUCAAACACCUUCCGAUCUCGCAACAAAACGCGUUUUAUCCUCGCAGAAUCAACGCAAAAAGGAUAGUUACAACAUCAUCUCAUAACUCUUCCUGUUUUGAGACCCUGACUUCCCGCCAAAAAAACCAGAUUCACCAUUACAUUGAGGCUCUUCUCGAUUGGAACCAGAAAAUGAAUCUUACUGCGGUCACGGACGUGAAUGAAGUCAUGAAAAGGCAUAUAGAGGACUCGCUUGCAAUGCUACCUCCUAUUCGUGAUUCUUAUGUUUCGCAUUGCAACUCUUCGAUUGACAAUCUCAAACUUGUUGAUGUUGGGACUGGUCCUGGGCUUCCUGGACUGGUUUUAGCUAUUGCUUGUCCUGGUUGGAAAGUAACCCUUUUGGAGUCCAUGAACAAGCGUUGCGUUUUCUUGGAGCAUGCAGUGAGCGUUACUGGGUUGUCAAAUGUUGAAGUUGUAAGGGGUAGAGCAGAGGUAUUGUUCCUUACCUAAGUACUUCAUGACCUUGUUUGUUGGCAGGCAUUGUUUGAAUGAUCAUAUUCCACCGUUAAUAAGGUAUAUAAUUGUAUACGUGCAUUAUUGAAAAUCUAGACACACAUGAGGUUUGAGUCUCCUUGACUGGACUGGCUUGGCAUUCAGAGACUCAUCCUCUUAAUACUAAGGGGGAAAAAAGAUCGCAUUGCGGUAUUUGCUAGUUAUUCAUUCCAUGAAGCUUGUUGUAGGACAGAGUUUAGGGCAGAAUGAUUCCUUUAGAGAGCAAUUUGAUGUUGCAGUUGCCAGAGCAGUUGCGGAAAUGAGAGUUUUAGCGGAGUAUUGUCUUCCUCUAGUUCGAGUAGGUGGGUUGUUUGUAGCCGCGAAGGGCCAUGAUCCCCAAGUGGAAGUUCAAAAUGCAGAAAAAUCAAUCCAACUGAUGGGCGCAUCUAUAUUUCAACUUUGCUCAGUGGAAUCACACAGCCCAUAUGGGCAGCGUACAGCCAUCAUAUGUGUAAAAGAUCACCCCACUCCAAGGAAGUAUCCACGUGAUCCAGGUACUCCGGCAAAAUUACCAUUGUAGUGCCCAAUCUUUUUUCCCCCUAACUACUAUGCCUCUUGCACCCUCAUAAAAUGUUUGUAUAGAAUGUUCUAUUUUCAGAUUAGUUUUUACUAUAAUCAAUGAAGCAGGUAAAAGUGUUGUAGAACCUUAAUGUUUGAUCAGUGGCUGACUUGCACUGGUCGUGCAGUCUUUAUUCAUUGAUUUUGUUUUUGUUUGCUUGGAAGAGUGUAUCCACAAAUGGUUGUAAGUUAAUACCGUUUGUUUGUAUAAGAAGAUAAAUACUUGGUCACUUUCAUUUUUUUUUAUUUUUUGUAACUACUGGUUUAUGAAUUUAGGAAUGAG